GCCGGGGAGUUAGCGGUGCCCUGUACCUGCAAUCCGCUAUAGCAGGGGUGAUGUUCCAUCCCGGGUAUUCAACUGUGAUGCUGCCCGUUGUAAGUGGCGAUGACGUUUGGGUCUUGCGCAACAGGACUUCAUGAACCGUGUCAGGUCGGGAACGAAGCAGCACUAAGUGGAUAAUCCUGUGUGCCGUAAGGGUGCCUGGACUGAGUUAACUGCAAUGGUAACGGUUGUG
This 229-nucleotide signal recognition particle RNA is filed under the name bovine gut metagenome. RNAcentral describes it as "Bacterial large signal recognition particle RNA". It matches the Rfam family "Bacterial large signal recognition particle RNA", at positions 9 to 237 of the family's 256-position model. From Rfam's summary of the family: The signal recognition particle (SRP) is a universally conserved ribonucleoprotein involved in the co-translational targeting of proteins to membranes. Archaeal SRP consists of a 7S RNA and homologues of the eukaryotic SRP19 and SRP54 proteins. The record is from RNAcentral.